This 397-nucleotide ribosomal RNA is filed under the name uncultured bacterium. Its description in RNAcentral is "partial 16S ribosomal RNA". It matches the Rfam family "Bacterial small subunit ribosomal RNA", at positions 523 to 918 of the family's 1533-position model. The record is from RNAcentral.
AUACGUAGGUGACAAGCGUUAUCCGGAUUUACUGGGCGUAAAGGGCGUGUAGGCGGUCUUGCAAGUCAGAAGUGAAAUUCCUGAGCUCAACUCGGGCGCUGCUUCUGAAACUGCAGGACUUGAGUGCUGGAGGGGAUAGCGGAAUUCCUAGUGGAGCGGUAAAAUGCGCAGAUAUUAGGAAGAACACCGGUGGCGAAGGCGGCUAUCUGGACAGUAACUGACGCUGAGGCGCGAAAGCGUGGGGAGCGAACAGGAUUAGAUACCCUGGUAGUCCACGCUGUAAACGAUGAAUGCUAGGUGUAGGGGGUAUCGACCCCUCCUGUGCCGGAGUAAACGCAAUAAGCAUUCCGCCUGGGGAGUACGGCCGCAAGGUUGAAACUCAAAUGAAUUGACGGGG